RNAcentral lists this ribosomal RNA (583 nucleotides) under Aspergillus sp. 2 YHY-2018. RNAcentral's name for it is "partial large subunit ribosomal RNA". It matches the Rfam family "Eukaryotic large subunit ribosomal RNA", at positions 53 to 651 of the family's 3401-position model. Lineage: Eukaryota; Fungi; Ascomycota; Eurotiomycetes; Eurotiales; Aspergillaceae. The record is from RNAcentral.
GAGGAAAAGAAACCAACCGGGAUUGCCUCAGUAACGGCGAGUGAAGCGGCAAGAGCUCAAAUUUGAAAGCUGGCUCCUUCGGGGUCCGCAUUGUAAUUUGCAGAGGAUGCUUCGGGUGCGGCCCCUGUCUAAGUGCCCUGGAACGGGCCGUCAGAGAGGGUGAGAAUCCCGUCUGGGAUGGGGUGUCCGCGCCCGUGUGAAGCUCCUUCGACGAGUCGAGUUGUUUGGGAAUGCAGCUCUAAAUGGGUGGUAAAUUUCAUCUAAAGCUAAAUACUGGCCGGAGACCGAUAGCGCACAAGUAGAGUGAUCGAAAGAUGAAAAGCACUUUGAAAAGAGAGUUAAAAAGCACGUGAAAUUGUUGAAAGGGAAGCGCUUGCGACCAGACUCGCCUCCAGGGUUCAGCCGGCAUUCGUGCCGGUGUACUUCCCUGGGGGCGGGCCAGCGUCGGUUUGGGCGGCCGGUCAAAGGCUCCCGGAAUGUAGUGCCCUCCGGGGCACCUUAUAGCCGGGAGUGCAAUGCGGCCAGCCUGGACCGAGGAACGCGCUUCGGCACGGACGCUGGCAUAAUGGUCGUAAACGACCCG